UUUGUUUCAUUCCCAUGAUCUCCCCGACAAGGCAAAGAUCGGUUUCCUUGAAGCCUAUGAACCUGGUUGGACAGCUACUCAUGAUAUGGAGUUAAGUCUAACUGAACCUGGACAGGCUGGCCAGUCAACACUCGGUUAAUUGUAAUUGUAAGUCCCAUUCUAGCGAUCAAGUAAAAAAGUUCGUAUGGGUAGCCAACCGAGACACACCACUGAUUCAUCAGGUCUAUGCACGGUCACCAUCCCUGGAAUUCUUGUCCUUGUUGAUAUUAACAAGACAAGCGUUUGGUCCUCGAACACACCAACAUCUGCGUCGAAUCCAGCAGCACAGCUUUCGGAUAGUGAAUGGGAAGAGAAACAAAGGAUUUUCUCAUCCAGGCCACAGCCUCAACCUGCUAGGACAUUGUGACAGUGACUUCUCUAUUAACAUCUGGUGACGAUAAUCUUCCCCUGAAUUAACUUUCUUCUGGGUUGGCUGGCUUCUGCAACAUUUUCUACCAAUAAAGAACUUUAAGCAAUUUUAUUUGAGAAUUGGGCAUUUCCUGUGUUGACACAAGACGGGAGUGUGAGGAGCUACAACUGGAUUAAUAGAGCCCAAGUUUGGGAAGUUUUACUAGGAACACCGGCUGAUACAUGUGACAACUAUGGAAUAUGUGGGCCAAAUGGUGCGUGUAAUAUUGACAACUCCCCACUAUGUGGUUGCUUGGAAGGAUUUAGACCAAAUUUUCAACAAAAAGGGGCCUUUCGGGGUGCAACAUAUGCCUGUAUGAGAAUGACUCCACUGAAAACUGCUCCUGCACAGCUUUUGCAAAUUUGGAUAUCAGGGCAGGAGGAAGUGGCUGCUCAAGAACUUUCAAUGGAAAUGGGCAAGAUAUAUACAUAAGAAUAAGAUUAGCUGCAUCUGAACCAGACAAUGCAAAAUCCAAAGUGAAGAAAACGAGAAUCAUAGUAACCAGUACUGUGUUGUCUGCUGGACUUUUAAUCCUGGGCCUAGCCCUCCUCUUACGUUUUCAGAAGAAGAAGCACCAACAAGAUGGAAAACCGAGAUCGGACCAAAGGGAAGAUCUGGAGUUACCAUUAUUUGACUUGGGCACUGUGAUUUGUGCUACCAAUGAUUUUUCAAACCACAAUAAAGUUGGGGAGGGUGGCUUUGGAUCUGUCUAUAAGGGUACACUGAUGGAUGGACAAGAAAUAGCUGUGAAAAGUCUAUUGAAACAUUCGAGGCAAGGACUCAACCGGUUAAAGAAUGAGGUUACACAUAUUGCCAAACUUCAGCACUGGAAUCUAGUGAGGCUUCUAGGAUGCUGCAUUCAAGAAGAUGAUGCUGAUCUACGAGUUCAUGCCUAACAAAAGCUUAGACUUCUUUAUUUUCGGUUUGUUUCCCAUUUGUAAACUUCCUAUGAUCCUUUGUCGAUUGGCUGUGCAACGGAAGGGAAAGUAUUAGACUGUUUUAUUUUGAUAUGAUACUAUUAUGUACUAUUUUGCAGAUCAAAGAAAAAGCAUCUUACUAGAUUGGCCUAAGUGUUUUGACAUUAUUAAUGGGAUUGCUCGGGGGCUCCUCUAUCUUCAUCAAGAUUCUAGACUGAGAGUAAUUCAUCGAGAUCUCAAAGCCGGCAACAUUCUAUUCGACGGUGAAUUUAACCCCAAAAUUUCAGACUUUGGCCUGGCAAGAAGUUUUGGAGGAAAUGAAACUACAGCAGCGAUAAAUAAAGUGGUUGGAAGAACAUAUGGUUACAUGUCCCCAGAAUAUGCGAUCGAUGGGUUCUACUUGAUAAAAUCUGACAUGUAUAGCUUUGGUGUUAUGGUGCUUGAGAUAGUGAAGGGAAAAGAAACAGAGGAUUUUCUCAUCCAAACCACAGCCUUAACUUGCAUGGACAUGUAAGUGUCAGCUGUCAAGUUGAUCAUUUUUCGUCGAAUAAUACUAGAGGGACUAUAUUCUGACUGCAUCAGCUAAUGAAGUACUACUGUGACAGUGACUUCUCUAUUAACAACUGGUGACGACAAUUCAUGCAUGGAAUUUAUACACAGAAGGCAAGUCCAUUGAAAUGCUCGAUACAUGAGUAGGAGACUCCAGUAAUCCACAUGAAGUUUUGCGGUCGAUCCAUGUGGGUCUUUUAUGCGUGCAGUGAAAUCCGGCAGAUAGGCCAAGCAUGCCAGCUGCAGUUCUGAUGUUGAGUGGUGAAAGUGCAUUGCCUGAACCGGAAAAACCUGGUUUUUACAGUGAAAGGGAUUUAGAUGACAACAAAGUCGAUCCUUGUGCAAACAAGGUUACAGUUUUUUCAGCUAAUGAAGAUACAUUUACCCUACUCGAGGCUCGAUAGUUCAUAUUUCAUGUUGCUGUUUAUUUCGUCAUAACUUGAUCUGAUGUCUAUUGGAGUGAGUUAAGUUGAUCAGAUAUUUCUCGAGUAAUCCUGCUUAUACAUUUUCUUGCCUUACAUAUGCUUUGCUCUGAUAUCAGCGGUGACUCGAUUGGAGAGGAAUUCAAUCUGAUUAGAUAAUACAUUUGAA
This is a non-coding RNA of Malus domestica (apple), 2505 nucleotides long. Lineage: Eukaryota; Viridiplantae; Streptophyta; Magnoliopsida; Rosales; Rosaceae. The record is from RefSeq and is a predicted model, not a curated record.